Molecule: long non-coding RNA, 957 nt
Filed under: Papio anubis (olive baboon)
Lineage: Eukaryota; Metazoa; Chordata; Mammalia; Primates; Cercopithecidae
Description: lncRNA (ENSPANG00000050607.1)
Source: RNAcentral
CAGCUUCCUCUCCUCAUCAUAGAAUGUUGGCUUCGUAUAAUCGUCCCCUAAUCUGCCCAGCCUCAGAAGAAAACAACUUAGCCUCUUUUAGCGACCACGGCAUAACUAUGCUCUCCAGCAAAACUGUUCGUGCAGAGCAAGCACAGCAUCCUUUGGAAGAUUAGCGAUUCCUCAAAAGAAGUCAGAAGACAGAUUUUCACAUUCAAUUCCAACCUGUGUGGUUUGAAGGCCGUGAAACUUUCAACAACAAUAUAAAUACUGCAUGUGUCUCUCUCUCCCGAGGCUGGAUUUUACCGACUGUUAUGUGAAAGGCCAAUUGUAUAAGCAGGUGUAGGUCUGAGUUGAAAGGAUUUGAUGGCAUUAAUCUCCCUUUAAGAGGUCUUGUUUUCAUGGGCUGUUGUCAAACAUAACUGAGUCGUUCUGUGACUAUAACUGCAGUUAUCUGUCCCUUGUUAUAGAGAGUUGCCCUAGCUUUUGAGGGAAUUUCUGCAUGACUUUUCCAAAGAAUGUUUCAAUGUUCUCUAUAGGGAGAGGCAGUAUGGCAGUGUGAGACAAAUAUAGUCUCUGCGGGCAGGCAUACCCUGGGUUUAAAUGUUGGUUUGCAGGAUCUGUGUUGCUUCACUAAAUUCAUGAAAAUUCUCUGAGUCACAGCUUCCUGUAUACAAAAUGAGGACAAUAAUAGCUGAGGUUUAAGUGAGGUUAUGCAUGAAAAAUACUUAGCAUGGUCAUUGGAAUAGAAGUUCAAUACAUGAUAAAUAUUAUUCCUCCAAUUGACCAAAUAUAUGCCACGAUUUCAUGGUCCUUGCCACUGAAGUUCAGACAUCAUGAAUAUUAGCUAUGGACAUUAAACAGUUAUCUUCCUAAUUCCAAAAUACUAAACACGUUAAUUUCUAGACUAGAGAGAUGAUUACCUGGGGCUAAGUCAAAAUUAGCUCUGAUAGUUGUGAAGUCAUAACC